UACGAAGGGGGCUAGCGUUGCUCGGAAUCACUGGGCGUAAAGGGUGCGUAGGCGGGUCUUUAAGUCAGGGGUGAAAUCCUGGAGCUCAACUCCAGAACUGCCUUUGAUACUGAGGAUCUUGAGUACGGGAGAGGUGAGUGGAACUGCGAGUGUAGAGGUGAAAUUCGUAGAUAUUCGCAAGAACACCAGUGGCGAAGGCGGCUCACUGGCCCGUUACUGACGCUGAGGCACGAAAGCGUGGGGAGCAAACAGGG
This 254-nucleotide ribosomal RNA is filed under the name uncultured bacterium. RNAcentral's name for it is "partial 16S ribosomal RNA". It matches the Rfam family "Bacterial small subunit ribosomal RNA", at positions 524 to 777 of the family's 1533-position model. The record is from RNAcentral.